Molecule: ribosomal RNA, 641 nt
Filed under: Actinomycetales bacterium A322
Lineage: Bacteria; Bacillati; Actinomycetota; Actinomycetes; Actinomycetales
Description: bacterial SSU rRNA
Rfam family: Bacterial small subunit ribosomal RNA
Source: RNAcentral
ACUUCAGUCGAGCGGUAGGCCUUCGGGGUACACGAGCGGCGAACGGGUGAGUAACACGUGGGUAACCUGCCCUGUACUCUGGGAUAAGCCUUGGAAACGAGGUCUAAUACCGGAUACGACCCUUGGACGCAUGUUCGAGGGUGGAAAGUUCCGGCGGUAUGGGAUGGACCCGCGGCCUAUCAGCUUGUUGGUGGGGUAAUGGCCUACCAAGGCGACGACGGGUAGCCGGCCUGAGAGGGUGACCGGCCACACUGGGACUGAGACACGGCCCAGACUCCUACGGGAGGCAGCAGUGGGGAAUAUUGCACAAUGGGCGAAAGCCUGAUGCAGCGACGCCGCGUGAGGGAUGACGGCCUUCGGGUUGUAAACCUCUUUCAGCAGGGACGAAGCGCAAGUGACGGUACCUGCAGAAGAAGCACCGGCUAACUACGUGCCAGCAGCCGCGGUAAUACGUAGGGUGCGAGCGUUGUCCGGAAUUAUUGGGCGUAAAGAGCUCGUAGGCGGUUUGUCGCGUCGGCCGUGAAAACUUGGGGCUUAACUCCAAGCUUGCGGUCGAUACGGGCAGACUUGAGUUCGGCAGGGGAGACUGGAAUUCCUGGUGUAGCGGUGAAAUGCGCAGAUAUCAUGGGGGAACACCAAAG